RNAcentral lists this ribosomal RNA (301 nucleotides) under uncultured bacterium. Its description in RNAcentral is "partial 16S ribosomal RNA". It matches the Rfam family "Bacterial small subunit ribosomal RNA", at positions 509 to 807 of the family's 1533-position model. The record is from RNAcentral.
CAGCAGCCGCGGGAAUACGAAGGUCCCGAGCGUUGUUCGGAAUCACUGGGCGUAAAGGGAGCGUAGGCGGCGUGGUAAGUCAGAUGUGAAAUCCCGGGGCUCAACCCCGGAACUGCAUCCGAUACUGCCAUGCUAGAGGAUUGGAGAGGUAGCUGGAAUUCUUGGUGUAGCAGUGAAAUGCGUGGAGAUCAAGAGGAACACUCGUGGCGAAAGCGAGCUACUGGACAAUAACUGACGCUGAGGCUCGAAGGCCAGGGUAGCGAAAGGGAUUAGAUACCCCAGUAGUCCCUGUCUCUUAUAC